Molecule: long non-coding RNA, 500 nt
Filed under: Physcomitrium patens
Lineage: Eukaryota; Viridiplantae; Streptophyta; Bryopsida; Funariales; Funariaceae
Description: long non-coding RNA (PPAT_LNC011357)
Source: RNAcentral
AGCCCUAAAAAAUAUUAAAUAAAUUAAAAAGAUAUCUUAAAUAAAUUUCCACUAAGUUUUAAUUUAAUCUUAGUUGAAAUUCUAAUGGAAUUCAAUCAAAUCCUAGACAAACCUUAAAUCCUAAAUCAAACCAUAAAUCAAAUCUUAGACAAAUCCUAAAUCAAACCAUAAAUCAAAUCCUAGACAAAUCCUAAAUCCUAAAUCAAAUCCUAAAAAAAUUCUAAAUUUUAAACCAAAUCUUUGAUCAAACCUUAGAUCCUAAACCAAAUCCUAGAUCAAAUCUUAUAGUCCAAAUAAAAUCCUAAAUCAAAUCCCAAACAAAUCCUAAAUCAAACUCUAGACAAUUUAGAACCUUAAUAUCUAUCAAUUGAAUUAUUGAUCUUGAUAAAAAAUUUAUAUAAUUUUUAACAACUGAAUUCACAAUAAGUAUAUGAAAUUUGAAGAUAAUUGCACUUACCAAAUAGAAGAAAAAUCCUAAAAUUUGCUCGGGUAUUAGCUAG